AUGCACCUCGCAAACCUCAUCCUCACCUUCUGCCUGGGCCAGCUCCUCGGCACCACGGCGCAGAUCACAGUCACCCAGGAAGAUGGAGCAGUCACAGUCAAGCAGGGACACCCCUUCCACACCACCUGCAAAUACCAGAGCAGUUAUUUCAAUGGCUUGCUCUGGUACCAGCUGCAGAAAGGCCAAGCCCCACGGCUGCUCUCCUAUCAGUCAGGGACUGGCCCCAGGCACAGCGGCCGUUUCACCACGCACCUGAACACCACGGGCAAAUCCAGUGUCCUGCAGCUGGAGCACGUGGAGCUCUCUGACACUGCCUUCUGUCCCUUGUCCCUGGCCACGGCAAAGGUCCUGGUGUGGCUCGUGGCGCUGGUGGCGUGA
Passer domesticus (house sparrow) is the source of this 378-nucleotide non-coding RNA. The record is from the annotation of a RefSeq genome assembly. NCBI's taxonomy places the organism in Eukaryota, Metazoa, Chordata, Aves, Passeriformes, Passeridae.